This 117-nucleotide ribosomal RNA is filed under the name Sinocyclocheilus grahami. Lineage: Eukaryota; Metazoa; Chordata; Actinopteri; Cypriniformes; Cyprinidae. The record is from RNAcentral.
UACCACAGCCAUAUCACCCUGCAGCCCAAGACUGGUUGCCCACUGAAGCUAAGCAGGGUUGAUCCUGGUCAGUACCUGGAUGGGAGACCUCCUGGGAAAACUAGGUUGCUGUUGGAA